AACGAACGCUGGCGGCAGGCUUAACACAUGCAAGUCGAACGCCCCGCAAGGGGAGUGGCAGACGGGUGAGUAACACGUGGGAACGUGCCCUAAGGUUUGGAAUAUUCCCGGGAAACUGGGAGCAAUACCAAAUGUGUCCGUAAGGAGAAAGAUUUAUCGCCUUAGGAUCGGCCCGCGUCAGAUUAGGUAGUUGGUGGGGUAAUGGCCUACCAAGCCGACGAUCUGUAGCUGGUCUGAGAGGACGACCAGCCACACUGGGACUGAGACACGGCCCAGACUCCUACGGGAGGCAGCAGUGGGGAAUCUUGGACAAUGGGCGCAAGCCUGAUCCAGCCAUGCCGCGUGGAUGAUGAAGGCCCUAGGGUUGUAAAAUCCUUUCGUUGGGGACGAUAAUGACGGUACCCAAAGAAGAAGCUCCGGCUAACUUCGUGCCAGCCGCCGCCGUAA
This 447-nucleotide ribosomal RNA is filed under the name uncultured bacterium. RNAcentral describes it as "partial 16S ribosomal RNA". It matches the Rfam family "Bacterial small subunit ribosomal RNA", at positions 29 to 523 of the family's 1533-position model. The record is from RNAcentral.